RNAcentral lists this ribosomal RNA (407 nucleotides) under uncultured bacterium. RNAcentral's name for it is "bacterial SSU rRNA". It matches the Rfam family "Bacterial small subunit ribosomal RNA", at positions 356 to 773 of the family's 1533-position model. The record is from RNAcentral.
GGGGAAUAUUGCGCAAUGGGGGGAACCCUGACGCAGCGACGCCGCGUGCGGGACGAAGGCCUUCGGGUCGUAAACCGCUUUCAGCAGGGAAGAGGCCUUAACGGUGACGGUACCUGCAGAAGAAGCUCCGGCUAAAUACGUGCCAGCAGCCGCGGUAAUACGUAUGGAGCGAGCGUUAUCCGGAUUCAUUGGGCGUAAAGCGCGUGUAGGCGGCCCGUUAGGUCGGAAGUCAAAUCCCGGGGCUCAACCCCGGCCCGCUUCCGAUACCGGCGGGCUCGAGUCCGGUAGGGGAAAGUGGAAUUCCCAGUGUAGCGGUGGAAUGCGCAGAUAUUGGGAAGAACACCGGUGGCGAAGGCGGCUUUCUGGGCCGCGACUGACGCUGAGACGCGAAAGCUAGGGGAGCGAAC